RNAcentral lists this ribosomal RNA (253 nucleotides) under uncultured bacterium. Its description in RNAcentral is "partial 16S ribosomal RNA". It matches the Rfam family "Bacterial small subunit ribosomal RNA", at positions 524 to 776 of the family's 1533-position model. The record is from RNAcentral.
UACGGAGGGUGCAAGCGUUACCCGGAUUCACUGGGCGUAAAGGGCGCGUAGGCGGCCUGCUCAGUCCGGCGCUAAAGCCCGGGGCUCAACCCCGGAAGCGCGCUGGAUACUGGUGGGCUCGACGGCUGGAGAGGGCAGUGGAAUUCCCGGAGUAGCGGUGAAAUGCGCAGAUACCGGGAGGAACGCCGAUGGCGAAGGCAGCUGCCUGGACAGCCCGUGACGCUGAGGCGCGAAAGCGUGGGGAGAAAACCGG